Molecule: long non-coding RNA, 2415 nt
Organism: Ictalurus punctatus (channel catfish)
Lineage: Eukaryota; Metazoa; Chordata; Actinopteri; Siluriformes; Ictaluridae
Source: Ensembl
CUCAGGGGAAGAAGGAGGGUUGUUGUGCUCUGACCCACUGACUGUUUUUUUUAACCAGUGCAAGUCUGUACAAACGUCUCUAAUCUGAGUCCCUUCAUCGGCAUGAAUGGUAUCUUUCAUUGCACACAGAAUAAAGCAGCCUGGCUAUGGGAAAACAUGUCUGCCACCUGCUUGAGUGCUAGCGGGCAAACCUGCAUUGCAAAUUUGUCCCAUCACUCCAGCUUCGCACCCAUGCCCCUAUAGUCACCAUGCUGCUCUUCUUUAGCAAGAAUGUUCACACAAAGGGGCUCUCAUGCUGCUGAUGGGACUCUGGACAUUUUUGGAGAGUUUGCAUGAAACAAAGAAAAUGCUUGACUUGUUAGGAAGAUUUUCACAAUUAGAAUAGAAAGUAUUUGAACCGUUCAGCAUCUAAAACAGAUUGCAUAUGUAUACAGUAAAAUGUAUUAAUAACAGUGCUUAAGAUGAAUGGUGUUAAUAUUCCAUAUACUUCCCUGAUAUGUGAAUUAAUUAUUGAGAUUCUUAAUUCAUAAUAUUCAUAAUAUAUGCAAAAUUAAAUUUCAAGCCACUAAAGUUAAACAUAAUACAAAUGCUGUGUUGAAAAAAAGAAGACUUUCUUAGCUUGCUUAUAAACAAAUUACUCCACAACACACUCGUGUAAUUUUACAGUCUCCUCCUAAUGUUGCAAUUUGUUCUACGCAUCUAUGGCAGUCCUUUAGAAAUCCAAAUUAAGAAAUGACAGCAAAGCAAAGUCAGCUGAUUUCCCCCUACCAUAAUCAUGAUAAGGGAGCUGACACAUAAAGUCAUUUACUUUAUUAUUAUUAUUACAUUGUUUAAAUAUAUUUUGAAUAAAAUAGACAGCCAGUUCGUUCAUUUAAUAAAAAUUCAGGUAAUAUCUGAGGAGCUAAUAAGGAGCUGCGUGCUGUAUCCAUCAUGCUUGACCUUUUUUUAAAUUCUUUUUUUCUAACCUAUAUCACACAUCAUUGUAACUGCACUAGCCAUAUCCCCCUGUGAUGUUAGCACAGCAGACAACUGCUAACUUCCAGGAAUGACAAAAUACAGCACCAACCAACAAUUAGCACCAGAUUUGCUAAGCACACCAUAAAUAAACAGAUUUCACAUAUUUCAGGGUGGAGUUUUCCUUUAACUGGCCCACUACAACAGAGCUCAGCGUGUUCUGGAAAACUCACCCUCUAAGUGUAGUCGUGGUAAAAACAAAGCAUUUUGCACUUAACACAAUGAGAAAUGAUAUUUAGCCGAGUGACAGAGGAAUAUCUGGGACUUCAUGUUAUCUUGAUACAGCAAAAUGUUCAAACAUUCCAAUGCAAAAGGGGGAAAACUGAGGUUAGUAACCAAGUGAGCCCACAGUGUUAGGGUUUAUUUUAUUACAUUUUAGUGCUUGUAACUGCUCCCUCAGGCAGCACUGUGAGUGCACUACUUCAUGAGUUUUUUUUAUGACGGUUGAAACCACUCCAGUGAUUAAUGAUGACAAUCUGUCUGGAAUGGUUUCACCUUUCCUCCCUUUUUGGCUUCUUUCUGUCAUGUUAAUCUUUCAAGAGCUCUUCACUCUAUGCACUUGGCACAUUUUUGAAAUAGUCACUCAGGAAUUCAGACAGUUGAUUCACAAGGCAGGAGGUAAGUGUUACGUGUGUCUGUAUGGAUGAUUUUGCGAUGUGUAAAGAGCAUACGGUUCUUCAUGUUUGAAGCAUUUACCUGUGUCAUGAGUAAGAUGUUACUCCAUGGGUUAGUCUGAAGAGCUCAAUGUAUGUCAUGAUUUUCACACAAAAUCAGUAGUUUUCUGCUGUGCUUCUGUUGAUAGACGCAAUGUGGCACUCCUUAAAUGUUUUGCAGGUAUCUUGGGUGUUGGGUUUAUUUGUGGCAUAAAGGUGUGACUUUACGCAGCUCAGGAAGGGAAGACUCAAGCAGCAUCACUUGAGGAAUGUCUUGAGAAGAACAAAGUGGUCUCGGCAUGCUUCAAGAUGAGGUUGCUAAAAAGAUGUUCACCAACUUGGUGCAAAUAUUGUGUGAUCCUUUACUGUGAGGAACCUAAUUUCUGGCACUUUUCAAGAGUUUUUCCUUUAAAUGUCUGCAGAAUGGCCAUGGACCAGAUCCAUCCAUCCAUCCAACUUCUAUACCGCUUAUCCUUUUCAGGGUCACGGGGAAGCCUGGAGCCUAUCCCAGGGAGCAUCGGGCACAAGGCGGGGUACACCCUGGACAGGGUGCCAAUCCAUGGACCAGAAGCAUACCAAAAAUUCCUGUAGUUUUCCAGGGAAAAGCAAAUCGCAGAGGUGGUUCCACAUUCGUUACAGAGAAAUUGCCUUCCUUCACAGUGAAAGAGCUUGGUGUGCUUCUGUUUAAUAGAAUAUUAAGUUGAACUAUCAAUGCUUCAGACAGAAUCUGGUAAUAAAAAUAGUGUCA